AGAGUUUGAUCAUGGCUCAGAACGAACGCUGGCGGCGCGUUUUAAGCAUGCAAGUCGAACGGCAGCACGGGGCAACCUGGUGGCGAGUGGCGAACGGGUGAGUAACACGUAGAUGAUCUGCCUUUGGAUUGGGGAUAGCCUGUGGAAACACAGGGUAAUACCGAAUGAGGUUGCGAUACUAUGGUAAUGCAACGAAAGGGGCUAUGGCCCCGUCUGAAGAUGAGUCUGCGUCUGAUUAGCUAGUUGGUGGGGUAAGAGCCUACCAAGGCGACGAUCAGUAGCCGGCCUGAGAGGGUGGACGGCCACACUGGGACUGAGAUACGGCCCAGACUCCUACGGGAGGCAGCAGCUAAGAAUCUUCCGCAAUGGACGAAAGUCUGACGGAGCGACGCCGCGUGGGUGAUGAAGGCGGAAACGUUGUAAAGCCCUUUUAUGGAUGAGGAAUAAGCACUUGAGGGAAUGCUAGUGUGAUGACGUUAGUCCAUGAAUAAGCCCCGGCUAAUUACGUGCCAGCAGCCGCGGUAACGCGUAUGGGGCGAGCGUUGUUCGGAAUUAUUGGGCGUAAAGGGCAUGCAGGCGGUUUAAUAAGUCUGAUGUGUAAUCUCCUGGCUUAACUGGGAAGACGCGUUGGAAACUGUUAGACUUGAAUACAGGAGAGGGAGUCGGAAUUCUAGGUGUAGGGGUGAAAUCUGUAGAUAUCUAGAAGAACAUCAAUGGCGAAGGCAGACUCCUGGCCAUGUAUUGACGCUGAGAUGCGAAAGCGUGGGUAGCAAACAGGAUUAGAUACCCUAGUAGUCC
This 798-nucleotide ribosomal RNA is filed under the name uncultured bacterium. RNAcentral describes it as "bacterial SSU rRNA". It matches the Rfam family "Bacterial small subunit ribosomal RNA", at positions 8 to 796 of the family's 1533-position model. The record is from RNAcentral.